AGGAAUGUAGCGCAGCCAGGUAGCGCACUUGACUGGGGGUCAAGGGGUCGUGGGUUCGAAUCCCGCCAUUCCGA
Molecule: transfer RNA, 74 nt
Filed under: Pseudochrobactrum asaccharolyticum
Lineage: Bacteria; Pseudomonadati; Pseudomonadota; Alphaproteobacteria; Hyphomicrobiales; Brucellaceae
Description: tRNA-Pro
Rfam family: tRNA
About the family: Transfer RNA (tRNA) molecules are approximately 80 nucleotides in length. Their secondary structure includes four short double-helical elements and three loops (D, anti-codon, and T loops).
Source: RNAcentral